This 449-nucleotide ribosomal RNA is filed under the name uncultured bacterium. RNAcentral describes it as "partial 16S ribosomal RNA". It matches the Rfam family "Bacterial small subunit ribosomal RNA", at positions 354 to 796 of the family's 1533-position model. The record is from RNAcentral.
GUAGAGAAUCUUUCACAAUGGGGGCAACCCUGAUGGAGCGACGCCGCGUGGAGGAUAAGGUCUUCGGAUUGUAAACUCCUGUCAUGCGUGAACAAGGUUGCUUGGUUAAUACCUGGGCAAAUUGAUGGUAACGCAAGAGGAAGAGACGGCUAACUCUGUGCCAGCAGCCGCGGUAAUACAGAGGUCUCAAGCGUUGUUCGGAAUCAAUGGGCGUAAAGGGUGCGUAGGUGGCGUGGUAAGUCAGAUGUGAAAGCCCGGGGCUCAACCUCGGAACUGCAUCCGAUACUGCAAUGCUAGAGUACUGGAGAGGUGACUAGAAUUCUCGGUGUAGCAGUGAAAUGCGUAGAUAUCGAGAGGAAUACCAAAGGCGUAGGCAGGUCACUGGACAGUUACUGACACUGAGGCACGAAGGCCAGGGGAGCGAACGGGAUUAGAUACCCUGGUAGUCC